This 662-nucleotide long non-coding RNA is filed under the name Homo sapiens (human). RNAcentral's name for it is "HSALNT0297725". Lineage: Eukaryota; Metazoa; Chordata; Mammalia; Primates; Hominidae. The record is from RNAcentral.
AGGCAUGGGAAACGGGAGUAGGAAUGUGACGUGGGGGACAGGAUAACUGCCUCCAGCUCAGUGGAGAUGAAAGAAAAGAGGAGAGAAAAAGAACCACAAGAGAAAGCCAGUUCUGAACUGCAACUGCCUCCCAAGAGUCAGGAUCCUGGACCUCCCACGACCUGUAGAACAUCAACUUUGAGUCACAAGGACAUGAGUAUUCAAAUAAAUACAUGGCAUGGUACAUGUUGGGGAAAUAGUAGCUACAGAGUCUUCUGAGUAGAUCCAGCCUUUGCCCACCGCUAAAUAAUCAGAUCCAGGGAAGCAUCAAAAGUCAAAGAAAGGAUGAAGAGAAGUUGCUUCCAGCAACAGUGGGUGGGGCUUUCCAUUUAAAUUCUGCCUUCAACUUCCAAAAAAUAUCCUCUUGGGAAACUUAUUACUCAUGAAAAUGAAGAGAAGGUGUUUUCCUCCAUGGAGCAAUCUCUGCCUUGAAAAGUCUCCAUCCCUCUUCCUAGCCCAGAGAGAUGAUCCCACAAGGAAGUGGAUUUUGUUGCUUAAUCCUAGUUAACUGAAUUCUGUUUUCCCACAAUAAAAUAAUAAAAGUAAUUUGGAAUAGCAUAACCUGAAUGUUCAUAUUUCCACAGCCUGUGAUUAAAAAUUAGAAAUAAAAAAUCUUGAAAUUC